CCUACGGGUGGCAGCAGUGAGGAAUAUUGGUCAAUGGGCGCGAGCCUGAACCAGCCAAGUCGCGUGAGGGAGGACGGCCCUACGGGUUGUAAACCUCUUUUGCCGGGGAGCAAAGGGCGCCACGUGUGGCGUCACUGAGAGUACCCGGAGAAAAAGCAUCGGCUAACUCCGUGCCAGCAGACGCGGUAAUACGGAGGAUGCGAGCGUUAUCCGGAUUUAUUGGGUUUAAAGGGUGCGUAGGCGGAUCGUUAAGUCAGUGGUCAAAUUGAGGGGCUCAACCACGUCCCGCCAUUGAGACUGGCGAUCUUGAGUGGAAGAGAAGUAUGCGGAAUGCGUGGUGUAGCGGUGAAAUGCAUAGAUAUAACGCAGAACCCCGAUUGCGAAGGCAGCAUGCCGGCUUCCGACUUACGCUGAAGCACGAAAGCGUGGGGAUCGAACAGGAUUAGAUACCCUGGUAGUC
RNAcentral lists this ribosomal RNA (460 nucleotides) under uncultured bacterium. Its description in RNAcentral is "partial 16S ribosomal RNA". It matches the Rfam family "Bacterial small subunit ribosomal RNA", at positions 338 to 795 of the family's 1533-position model. The record is from RNAcentral.